RNAcentral lists this ribosomal RNA (955 nucleotides) under Peirates punctorius. RNAcentral's name for it is "SSU rRNA". It matches the Rfam family "Eukaryotic small subunit ribosomal RNA", at positions 425 to 1293 of the family's 1831-position model. The record is from RNAcentral. Lineage: Eukaryota; Metazoa; Arthropoda; Insecta; Hemiptera; Reduviidae.
GCAGCAGGCACGCAAAUUACCCACUCCCGGCACGGGGAGGUAGUGACAAAAAAUAACGAUACGGGACUCUUUUGAGGCCCCGUAAUCGGAAUGAGUACACUUUAAAUCCUUUAACAAGGAUCCAUUGGAGGGCAAGUCUGGUGCCAGCAGCCGCGGUAAUUCCAGCUCCAAUAGCGUAUAUUAAAGUUGUUGCGGUUAAAAAGCUCGUAGUUGGUUCUGCGUGCCGCGCUGUCGGUUCGCCGCCUGUCGGUGUAACUGGCAUGUCGCGGCAUGUCCUGUCGGUGGUGAACGGGAUCCCCGGUGCUGUUGAGGCCGUCAGGUCAAAGCAUGUACCGUGUGUGUUUCCGUUUGCCGAUCUCUCCUACUCCGGUGCUCUUAAACGAGUGUCGAGGUAGGCCGACACGUUCACUUUGAACAAAUUAGAGUGCUUAAAGCAGGCUGAAAUAUCUGCCUGAAUAGUGGUGCAUGGAAUGAUAAAACAGGACCUCGGUUCUAUUUUGUUGGUUUUAGGAAUAUGAGGUAAUGAUCAAUGUGGACUGGCGGGGGCAUUCGUAUUGCGACGUUAGAGGUGAAAUUCUUGGAUCGUCGCAAGACGCACUAGAGCGAAAGCAUUUGCCAAGUAUGUCUUAAUUGAUCAAGAACGAAAGUUAGAGGUUCGAAGGCGAUCAGAUACCGCCCUAGUUCUAACCAUAAACGAUGCCAGCCAGCGAUCCGCCGAUGUUCCUUUAAUGACUCGGCGGGGAGCUUCUACUCGGGAAACCAAAGCUUUUGGGUUCCGGGGGAAGUAUGGUUGCAAAGCUGAAACUUAAAGGAAUUGACGGAAGGGCACCACCAGGAGUGGAGCCUGCGGCUUAAUUUGACUCAACACGGGAAACCUCACCAGGCCAGGACAUUGGAAGGAUUGACAGAUUGAUAGCUCUUUCUUGAUUCAGUGGGUAGUGGUGCAUGGCCGUUC